UCACGGCGACGCUGUCGAGGAAAACUAUGAUGGGUGUGUCUAAGGGCUCGGAUUCAAAAGUCUUCGUUCGGAAAGUGAGGGAAAUUGGCGUUACUGUUAAUUGGUCAAUUUCCAUGUUGGUGGUUAGGGAAGGGUGCUAGCCGCCCUUGAGAGAGAGUUCGAGAAGAGGAAGCGUCGUUCGCUAGUGUUACGCCGCGCAACACAUCUGCAUUCCAUCCCGCGCGGCGUGACAGCCAACGGUCUACGUGCCGUCCUUCGAACCCUCCACAGGCCUAAGGACCCACCAUAAAGUCGAAAUUCUAACUGCAUUGUUCGCAC
RNAcentral lists this unclassified non-coding RNA (318 nucleotides) under Bombus terrestris (buff-tailed bumblebee). RNAcentral's name for it is "misc RNA ENSBTSG00005025233.1". Lineage: Eukaryota; Metazoa; Arthropoda; Insecta; Hymenoptera; Apidae. The record is from RNAcentral.